RNAcentral lists this ribosomal RNA (460 nucleotides) under uncultured bacterium. RNAcentral describes it as "partial 16S ribosomal RNA". It matches the Rfam family "Bacterial small subunit ribosomal RNA", at positions 338 to 795 of the family's 1533-position model. The record is from RNAcentral.
CCUACGGGAGGCAGCAGUGAGGAAUAUUGGUCAAUGGGCGGGAGCCUGAACCAGCCAAGCCGCGUGAAGGAAGACUGCGCCAAGCGUUGUAAACUUCUUUUGUCGGGGAACAAAGUGUUCCACGUGUGGCGUUGUGUAUGUACCCUAAGAAAAAGCAUCGGCUAACUCCGUGCCAGCAGCCGCGGUAAUACGGAGGAUCCGAGCGUUAUCCGGAUUUAUUGGGGUUAAAGGGGGCGUAGGUGGGUUGUUAAGUCAGUUGUGAAAGUUCGGGGCUCAACCGGAAGAUGGCAGUUGAAACUGGCAGUCUUGAGUAGAGGAGAGGUGGGCGGAAUUCGUGGUGUAGCGGUGAAAUGCUUAGAUAUCGCGAAGAACUCCGAUUGCGAAGGCAGCUCGCUGGACUGACACUGACGCUGAGGCACGAAAGUGUGGGUAUCGAACAGGAUUAGAUACCCUAGUAGUC